This 85-nucleotide small RNA is filed under the name Lactobacillus sp. Its description in RNAcentral is "SAM-III sequence". It matches the Rfam family "SAM-III riboswitch aptamer (SMK box)". RNAcentral also lists the same sequence under 1 other name. Lineage: Bacteria; Bacillati; Bacillota; Bacilli; Lactobacillales; Lactobacillaceae. The record is from RNAcentral.
AUCUAUUAAGAGGUUCCUGAUGGGAUCCUUUUUUUAUUUGCCGUAAAAGGAGAAGCCCUGUAACCGAAAGGUGGAAAAAAAUAUG